RNAcentral lists this long non-coding RNA (190 nucleotides) under Mustela putorius furo (domestic ferret). RNAcentral's name for it is "lncRNA (ENSMPUG00000024802.1)". The record is from RNAcentral. Lineage: Eukaryota; Metazoa; Chordata; Mammalia; Carnivora; Mustelidae.
UACAGACACAUCAUCCUAUUUUCUCCUUUCUAUGGCCACUCCUGGUAUCACUGACCAUCUGUGAAAAGUAGACCUGGGUCCUGGAAUCGAGCCCCGCAUCAGGCUCUCUGCUGCUCAGCGGGGAGCCUGCUUCCCCCUCUCUCUCUGCCUGCCUCUCUGCCUACUUGUGAUCUCUGUCUGUCAAAUAAAU